Molecule: ribosomal RNA, 205 nt
Filed under: uncultured bacterium
Lineage: Bacteria
Description: partial 16S ribosomal RNA
Rfam family: Bacterial small subunit ribosomal RNA
Source: RNAcentral
ACGCUCGACACCUACGGGAGCAGCAGUGGGGAAUAUUGCACAAUGGGGGAAACCCUGAUGCAGCGACGCCGCGUGAGCGAAGAAGUAUUUCGGUAUGUAAAGCUCUAUCAGCAGGGAAGAUCAUGACGGUACCUGACUAAGAAGCUCCGGCUAAAUACGUGCCAGCACGCCGGACGGUAAUCUGGAGGCCGGGCUGGACGAAGGC